Molecule: ribosomal RNA, 253 nt
Filed under: uncultured bacterium
Lineage: Bacteria
Description: partial 16S ribosomal RNA
Rfam family: Bacterial small subunit ribosomal RNA
Source: RNAcentral
GACGAACGGUCCUAGCGUUGUUCGGAAUCACUGGGCUUAAAGAGCGCGUAGGCGGCUUGCCAAGUCAGGGGUGAAAUCCUGCAGCUUAACUGUAGAAGGGCCUUUGAUACUGGCGAGCUCGAGGGAGGUAGGGGUAUGUGGAACUUCCGGUGGAGCGGUGAAAUGCGUUGAUAUCGGAAGGAACGCCGGUGGCGAAAGCGACGUACUGGACCUCUUCUGACGCUGAGGCGCGAAAGCUAGGGGAGCAAACGGG